GCCGGCAUGUCGGAAUUGGCAGACGAGACAGACUCAAAAUCUGUUGGCUGUAUGGUCGUGUGGGUUCAAGUCCCACUGCCGGCA
RNAcentral lists this transfer RNA (84 nucleotides) under Agathobacter ruminis. It matches the Rfam family "tRNA". Rfam says of the family: Transfer RNA (tRNA) molecules are approximately 80 nucleotides in length. Their secondary structure includes four short double-helical elements and three loops (D, anti-codon, and T loops). The record is from Rfam by way of RNAcentral. Lineage: Bacteria; Bacillati; Bacillota; Clostridia; Lachnospirales; Lachnospiraceae. RNAcentral also lists the same sequence under 2 other names.